GGACUACUGGGGUUUCUAAUCCUGUUUGCUCCCCACGCUUUCGUGCCUGAGCGUCAGUGUUAGCCCAGGGGGCUGCCUUCGCCAUCGGUGUUCCUCCACAUCUCUACGCAUUUCACUGCUACACGUGGAAUUCCACCCCCCUCUGCCACACUCCAGCCAUCCAGUCCUCACUGCAGUUCCCAGGUUAAGCCCGGGGCUUUCACAGCAAGCUUAAAUAGCCGCCUGCGCACGCUUUACGCCCAGUAAUUCCGAUUAACGCUCGCACCCUACGUAUUACCGCGGCUGCUGGCAC
RNAcentral lists this ribosomal RNA (292 nucleotides) under uncultured bacterium. RNAcentral describes it as "partial 16S ribosomal RNA". RNAcentral also lists the same sequence under 1 other name. The record is from RNAcentral.